UACGGAAGGCAGCGAGUGGGGAAUAUUGCACAAUGGGCGAAAGCCUGAUGCAGCUAUGCCGCGUGUAUGAAGAAGGCCUUAGGGUUGUAAAGUACUUUCAUCGGGGAGGAAAAACAAAACUAAUAAUUUUAUUUCUUGACGUUACCCGAAAAAGAAGCACCGGCUAACUCCGUGCCAGCAGCCGCGGUAAUACGGAGGGUGCUAGCGUUAAUCAGAAUUACUGGGCGUAAAGAGCACGUAGGUGGUUUUUUAAAGUCAGAUGUGAAAUCCCUGGGCUUAACCUAGGAACUGCAUUUUGAAACUGAAAUACUAGAGUAUCGUAGAGGGAGGUAGAAUUCUAGGUGUAGCGGUGAAAUGCGUAGAUAUCUGGAGGAAUACCUGUGGCGAAAGCGGCCUCCUAAACGAAUACUGACACUGAGGUGCGAAAGCGUGGGGAGCAAACAGGGAUUAGAUACC
Molecule: ribosomal RNA, 456 nt
Filed under: uncultured bacterium
Lineage: Bacteria
Description: bacterial SSU rRNA
Rfam family: Bacterial small subunit ribosomal RNA
Source: RNAcentral